UACGUAGGGUGCAAGCGUUGUCCGGAAUUAUUGGGCGUAAAGAGCGUGUAGGCGGCCCGACCAGUCCGCUGUGAAAGUCCAGGGCUCAACCCUGGGAUGCCGGUGGAUACUGUCGGGCUAGAGUCCGGAAGGGGCGAGUGGAAUUCCUGGUGUAGCGGUGAAAUGCGCAGAUAUCAGGAGGAACACCAAUGGCGAAGGCAGCUCGCUGGGACGUGACUGACGCUGAGACGCGAAAGCGUGGGGAGCAAACAGG
Molecule: ribosomal RNA, 253 nt
Filed under: uncultured bacterium
Lineage: Bacteria
Description: partial 16S ribosomal RNA
Rfam family: Bacterial small subunit ribosomal RNA
Source: RNAcentral